RNAcentral lists this transfer RNA (70 nucleotides) under Forpus modestus (dusky-billed parrotlet). RNAcentral describes it as "tRNA-Thr". The record is from RNAcentral. Lineage: Eukaryota; Metazoa; Chordata; Aves; Psittaciformes; Psittacidae.
UACUCUAAGAAGGGGUGAGUCUUCGUCUUUUGGUUUACAAGACCAAUGUUUUUAGUGAAACUAUUAGAGU